AGUGAACGCUGGCGGUAGGCCUAACACAUGCAAGUCGAACGGCAGCACAGUAAGAGCUUGCUCUUACGGGUGGCGAGUGGCGGACGGGUGAGGAAUACAUCGGAAUCUACUUUUUCGUGGGGGAUAACGUAGGGAAACUUACGCUAAUACCGCAUACGACCUACGGGUGAAAGCAGGGGAUCUUUGGACCUUGCGCGAUUGAAUGAGCCGAUGUCGGAUUAGCUAGUUGGCGGGGUAAAGGCCCACAAAGGCGACGAUCCGUAGCUGGUCUGAGAGGAUGAUCAGCCACACUGGAACUUAGACACGGUCCAGACUCCUACGGGAGGCAGCAGUGGGCAAUAUUGGACAAUGGGCGCAAGCCUGAUCCAGCCAUACCGCGUGGGUGAAGAAGGCCUUCGGGUUGUAAAGCCCUUUUGUUGGGAAAGAAAAGCAGCAGGUUAAUACCCCGCUGUUCUGACGGUACCCAAAGAAUAAGCACCGGCUAACUUCGUG
Molecule: ribosomal RNA, 492 nt
Filed under: uncultured bacterium
Lineage: Bacteria
Description: partial 16S ribosomal RNA
Rfam family: Bacterial small subunit ribosomal RNA
Source: RNAcentral